Molecule: long non-coding RNA, 344 nt
Filed under: Felis catus (domestic cat)
Lineage: Eukaryota; Metazoa; Chordata; Mammalia; Carnivora; Felidae
Description: lncRNA (ENSFCAG00000043554.2)
Source: RNAcentral
GGCUGGGACUGCACAAGGACUGUCCAACGUUAGCACUUCAGCUACUCAACCUUUGUCUGACACGUAUGGACAAGACGUGAAGGUAGAGAGAAGCUCCCUUAAAGAGGUGUAGUCUCUGGUACCUGGCAAUUUUUCCAGAGGAAGAAGAUGGGACCCAGACACGCCACUGAUUGUUAACCAAUUGGCUGUCAUUUCCAGCCUAAACCAUUCUGAAUUGGAUAAUGAUGGUCUGGUCAUGCUUCUUCGGUGGGCUACUCCUUCCUAUAUGGACAGGCACUUCCACUGGCAUUGAGAUAUAGUUGUGGGCAGGAGGAUAACUGCCCUCACCUUAGAGAGAAUUCCGG